RNAcentral lists this ribosomal RNA (463 nucleotides) under uncultured bacterium. RNAcentral's name for it is "partial 16S ribosomal RNA". It matches the Rfam family "Bacterial small subunit ribosomal RNA", at positions 28 to 507 of the family's 1533-position model. The record is from RNAcentral.
GACGAACGCUGGCGGCGUGCUUAACACAUGCAAGUCGAACGGAAAGGCCCUGCUUUUGUGGGGUGCUCGAGUGGCGAACGGGUGAGUAACACGUGAGUAACCUGCCCUUGACUUUGGGAUAACUUCAGGAAACUGGGGCUAAUACCGGAUAGGAGCUCCUGCUGCAUGGUGGGGGUUGGAAAGUUUCGGCGGUUGGGGCUGGACUCGCGUCUGAUCAGCUUGUUGGUAGGGUAGUAGCAUACCAAGGCGUUGACGCGUAGCUGGCCUGAGAGGGGGACAGACCAGGAUUGGACUGAGACACGGCCUCGACCGCUACGGAAGGGAGCGGUAGAGUAUAUUGUAGGAGGGGGGAAAGCGUGGCAACGCCACGUCGGGGAAGAGAUGCAGCGGUUAGGGUUGCACAGUCGCCUUACACGGGAUGAUAGUGACAGUAACGGGAAAAUAAGCUCCGGCUAACUACGUG